UUAAAAAAAAAAAAAAAAAAAAAAAGUAACAAUAAUAAUAAAUAUGUCAAAAAGUGUUAGCAUGUUAUGUUCAAUGUAUUGGCUUACUCUAGGGAGCGGUGUAUGUCUUAACGGCAUAGUCUCAUCCCAUAUAGCCCAGCUUUGUACAUAUGUACAGACUCACCACCCUUGUUGAUGUCAUCUACUUUCACCAUUUGCCUUAUCUCCAGUCAUGAAACACGUAAUUUAACCAAUGAGCCAUUCCUUCUCCUGGUCACUUCCCUCUGUGAUCUCCUGGUUGGUCAGACAGUUACAGUACAGCUUAAAGUCCUUGGGGCUUUUUUUUGGGGGUGUGCCAUAUGACUUUCUUCUGCUCAUUACUAGUCUGUACUCAGUCCUGCAAUGUGAUGAUAGUGUCAGCCACCAGGUAAUGGAGGAAGUUGACUUGUCAUUUAUCUACAAGAUUCUCAUCAAUGCACAGAUUUGUAAAUACUAUAAAUAGCGUUGAUCUUAAUAUAUAGAAAUGAAUCCGCCAUCAUGCCACCACCACCACCCAACCCCCAAAUUGUUUGUUGUCACAGUUGAUAAUGUUCAAUGCAAACAAACUUAGUGGUCUAGUUUCCCUCAGACUAAACAACUAAAGGGCUUUCUUGUCACACAAAAUAAUCAGCUCCCAUGAUGUUGUUAUUUUUUUGGGCUGGUUUUGAACGAAGUGUUAAGUUUUUUUCAGUAUUGUACACAUUUUCAUCUAAUCUAUUGCCAAACCAUGUGAUGCUUCGUUCAAAUCCAUCCUGUACAUAUAUUCAUAUUGUGUUACUAGACGUGUGUUAUUUUCUAUUUAUUGAGUAGAGUCUACUAUUUGUGGAUACUAGUAUAUUUAGUUGAUAUUGUCACUAGGUAAUAGCUUGCAGUGUAGAGUUAUUAGAUAUAUCAGAUGUGGGGUGUACAUACAAAUACGUGGUUCAAUACCACAUUCAUUCUUUUUAUUUUGACAUUUGUUCAGAUCAAUUAAUCAUGAUUGUUGUGUUUUUUUUGUCUUGGCACUUUUGUAGGCAGAGUCUCUACUUUCAGUGCUAACCAUUGGCAAUUCUUUUGCUUUUAUCUAAAGAAAAAAUGACAGAUUAAAGUCCAGGUAGAGAAUUCUGUUCAGUUUCCAAGUUGUGUAUUCCACCCAUGAGAAACAAAUAUUAAACCUUUCAUUGGCUUCAAUGUUUUUGUCCUGUCUGAUUCAGCUUUGUGUGUCACUAGCUGGUUGCCCCAGCUAUGUGUGUCACAAGCUGGUUGCCCAAAACCCAAUCAACUUAUUUAAAACAAAAAUAAAAGGCAGCAAAUAAUUUCAUCUUUUUUUUUCUUCCACUGAUUCAUGUUCAGUGACAGAAAAUUUGUCCUAGCGUUGGCUUGAUCAACUACAUAUUUAGAGUAAGCUACCUAACAAGUAGAUUUGUUUUUAUUUGCCUCUCUCUUGCAUUGAAUCAAACUAAACUUAUGGCCAAAAUGUGCUCAACAGUAGUAUCCAAGCAAUGCAAGGUCAAAUCUACUAUCUGUGAUAAUACAUCCAAGUCAAUUUUGGCCAUUGUAUUUGUACUGUAUUCACUGCCCUGGUAGUCUAAAUUCAACUUGAAUGCUGUUAUUCAUUGGUCACAUCCCAAAUCUGUUCAUCUUUUUAGUUCAUUUUUGAAACUGUUCUAAUAAUCCUUCAAUUGAAAAGGUAAAGCAUGAGGUUUUCCAAAUGACUCCACAGAAACUAAAAAUGGAAAGAAGGUUGUCUUUGACUAUGCUCAACUUUGUCCCAGUGGAAAUAUUAGCCGACUGUCUCAAAAAUAUUGUCAGAUAGCUGAGGUACACAAUGUGCAUUUGUAGAAUUACAUUAAUAACAUGGCAUUUACAUAAUAUGUUAGCUUUUGAUUGAAGUGUAAUUGAAGUUCGAGUCACAGUCAAGUAGUACCAACAUUGGGACCAGAGUUUAAACAAUGAAACAAGCCCGAACACAUUUUUUUUAAAUGGUAAAGAUAAACAUUUUUAGCUUAUAAACAUUUUUAUUUUUUUGGAUGCAGUUGUUUCAACACACAUUUGAACAUAAUACUAUUCAGCCAAAGUAGUUCAUAUCAGUUUUAUUAUCUAAUGCUACUGGUACAUAGACUUAUGUACUUUUGGUUAACACUGUUAUAAUGGUCUAUAUAUGAAGAUAGUUUUUGAUGUGAAAGUAAUGUUUAAAUUAUGAAAGUAAUGCUGGCAUUUUGUUUAAGAAUGAUGUUGAGUGUGACUGUUGAGAAAGUAAUGAUGUUGUCAUGGCUGUACUAAUCAAAGUAUGUUGAUAACUCUGUGUACAUGAGUAACUAUCAUUGAUUGAGGAACCUGUGAUGUGGAUGUGUUUGUGAGCUAAGUGAUGACUAUCCUAGACACUGCAGUGCCCAUACCAGCCAAUGUAUGUUGUAGAUCAAAACAGUUCAGUUCAUAUGCAGGCAGUUUCUAAAAGUUGUCUUUAUUCUAUUUACUCAGGAACUUGUAUUCACCCUCUUUGCCCCAUUAGCUUGCUCUUCUUCUCUCUUCCAUUUGGUUCUAACACGGAUGUCCUUUUUAUGUUUGUUUUUUUAUUGAUGAUUACAAUCUAAUGUGAGCUAAAUCUUUAUUCCUUUUUAUUGAUCUAUUGUUGUUAUUUUUUAAUUUUAAAUAAUAGAAUUCAAGUGUUAUUUUUUUUUUCUUUAUGCUUGGUGAGUUUUAUUUAUUAUUU
Biomphalaria pfeifferi is the source of this 2710-nucleotide non-coding RNA. NCBI's taxonomy places the organism in Eukaryota, Metazoa, Mollusca, Gastropoda, Planorbidae. The record is from the annotation of a GenBank genome assembly.